UAGCAAAGGAAAAAGAAAAGAGGAUAGCUUAACUGCAUCUCAGAGAAAGCAGAGGUGAGUAGUGCUAACAGAACGUUCAAGUCAGUGGCGGCUUGACUACCGUAUUUUCAGAAUGAAGAACAUGUUUUUAAACCCUUCCUAGAACUGAAGCUCGCCUAGAGUAAGGGUUAACACACUGUCUGUGUAGCUCUAAGUACACUGCAACCCUACACUGUAGUUAUCUCCCAGCCUGUGGAUGAAGAAUGGCAAGCCCUGAAGCUAUCAUGUUUGCUGGGAAUCUCUUACAGCAACUUAAGAAUUUUAUUGUGGAAAAUACAAACAUCCUCCAUAUAUAAACACUGUUGCAUGAAUGGGAUACAAUGUUUCCAAAACGUGACAGCUUGCCCCAAGUGUCUUAAAUGGGUUUCUGGAAUCCAUUGGGAUGGAGAGAAUGGACGCUGGAUUCAUAUAAGACUUUAUGCUACUCAGAGGCAUAGGCUAAAGCGACCUAUAGACCUUGUCUCAAAAGAGUUGGGAGGUACGCCCAGAGGCUGUAUCUCAGCAAUAGAGAACACUUGCCUCAAGUCUGUAUGGCCCUGAGGUCCAUCCCUACACUUCAGAUGACUUUCUAUGGCAAGUAACUGCCACAGACACACUUUAACGCUCUGGGAAGUGUCAAUCAGUGUCAUCCUACGACUCCGGGGACAGAUGCAAGAGAAUCAGUGAGGCCAGCCUGGACUACAUGACAAGAUACUGUCUCAAAGAAAGAUAAAGGCUUUAACAUUCUUUUAC
RNAcentral lists this long non-coding RNA (771 nucleotides) under Rattus norvegicus (Norway rat). RNAcentral describes it as "long non-coding RNA NONRATT014963". Lineage: Eukaryota; Metazoa; Chordata; Mammalia; Rodentia; Muridae. The record is from RNAcentral.